Molecule: ribosomal RNA, 449 nt
Filed under: uncultured bacterium
Lineage: Bacteria
Description: partial 16S ribosomal RNA
Rfam family: Bacterial small subunit ribosomal RNA
Source: RNAcentral
GUCGAGAAUCUUUCACAAUGGGGGCAACCCUGAUGGAGCGACGCCGCGUGGAGGAUAAGGUCUUCGGAUUGUAAACUCCUGUCAUGCGUGAACAAGGUUGCUUGGUUAAUACCUGGGCAAAUUGAUGGUAACGCAAGAGGAAGAGACGGCUAACUCUGUGCCAGCAGCCGCGGUAAUACAGAGGUCUCAAGCGUUGUUCGGAAUCACUGGGCGUAAAGGGUGCGUAGGUGGCGUGGUAAGUCAGAUGUGAAAGCCCGGGGCUCAACCUCGGAACUGCAUCCGAUACUGCCAUGCUAGAGUACUGGAGAGGUGACUAGAAUUCUCGGUGUAGCAGUGAAAUGCGGAGAUAUCGAGAGGAAUACCAAAGGCGUAGGCAGGUCACUGGACAGUUACUGACACUGAGGCACGAAGGCCAGGGGAGCGAACGGGAUUAGAUACCCGAGUAGUCC